Molecule: non-coding RNA, 66 nt
Filed under: Streptomyces sp. SID10815
Lineage: Bacteria; Bacillati; Actinomycetota; Actinomycetes; Kitasatosporales; Streptomycetaceae
Source: RNAcentral
UGGCGAAACCUCCCGGGAGGAGGUCGUCGCGGGGUGGUUCCCGCGGCCUGACGAAGCCAGCCAACA